UAAGAAUAUUCCGCAAUGGACGAAAGUCUGACGGAGCGACGCCGCGUGGAUGAAGAAGGCCGGAAGGUUGUAAAAUCCUUUUGCUGAUGAAGAAUAAGUGUGGUAGGGAAUGACCGCAUGAUGACAUUAGUCGGUGAAUAAGCCCCGGCUAACUACGUGCCAGCAGCCGCGGUAACACGUAGGGGGCAAGCGUUGUUCGGAAUUAUUGGGCGUAAAGGGCAUGUAGGCGGUUUCGUAAGCCUGGUGUGAAAUCCUGCAGCUUAACUGCAGAAUUGCAUUGGGUACUGCGAGACUUGAAUCACAGAGGGGAAACUAGAAUUCCAGGUGUAGGGGUGGAAUCUGUAGAUAUCUGGAAGAAUACCGGUGGCGAAGGCGGGUUUCUAGCUGAUGAUUGACGCUGAGGUGCGAAAGUGCGGGGAGCAAAC
RNAcentral lists this ribosomal RNA (425 nucleotides) under uncultured bacterium. Its description in RNAcentral is "bacterial SSU rRNA". It matches the Rfam family "Bacterial small subunit ribosomal RNA", at positions 356 to 773 of the family's 1533-position model. The record is from RNAcentral.